Hypanus sabinus (Atlantic stingray) is the source of this 6342-nucleotide long non-coding RNA. RefSeq lists it as uncharacterized. Lineage: Eukaryota; Metazoa; Chordata; Chondrichthyes; Myliobatiformes; Dasyatidae. The record is from RefSeq and is a predicted model, not a curated record. The transcript has 2 exons.
GGCUCACCACGAGGCACACCUGAGCACAAGCAGUUUUGCAGGCAUGAGAAAUCACAGUGAGAGCAACGCUAUGCAGCGUGUAGUGUAAAUAUCCGUGAUGGCGAGAAGAAAGACCCCGAUGAUCUUCACAGCGGACCUCACUAUCAGCUGCAGGGUCUUGCGAUCCAAGAUGGUGCAAUUUCUGAACCAGGCAGUGAUGCAGCUGCUUGGGAUGCUCUCAAUACAACCCCUGUAGAAUGUGAUGAGGAUGAGGGAUGGGAGAUGGACUUUCCUCAGCCUUCGCAGAAAGUAGAGACGCUGCUAGACUUUCCUUGCUAUGGAGCUGGUGUUGAGGGACCAGGUGAGAUUCUCCGCCAGGUGAACACUGAGAAAUGUGGUGCUCAUAAUAAUCUCUACCGAAGAGCAGUCGAUGUUCAGCGGGGAGUGGUCACUCCAUGCCCACCUGAAGUCAACAACUAUCUCUUUUGUUUUGUUCACAUUAAGAGACAGGUUGUUGGCUCUGCACCAGUCCGUUAGCCGCUGCAUUUCCUCUCUGUAAGCUGACUCGUCGUUCUUGCUGAUGAGACCCACCACGGCUGUGUCAUCGGCGAACUUGGUGAUGUGGUUCGAGCUGUGUGUUGCAGCACAGUCAUGGAUCAGUAGAGUGAACAACUGUGGACUAGGCACACAGCCCUGGGGGGCCCCUGUGCACAGUGUGAUGGUGUUGGAGAUAUUACUCCUGAUCCAGACUGACUGAGGUUUCCCAGUCAGGAAGUCUAGGAUCCAGUUGCAGAGGGAGGUGUUCAGGCCCAGUGGGCUCAGCUUUCUGACAAAGGGUCUCAGCCUGAAACGUCGAUAGUGCUUCUCCUUAUAGAUGCUGCCUGGCCUGCUGUGUUCCACCAGUAUUUUGUAUGUGAGGCUCAUCUUUCCAAUCAGUUUCUGGGGGAUGAUUGUGUUGAAUGCUAAACUGAAGUCUAUGAACAGCAUUCAAACGUACAAAUGAUCACAACUCUAAGUUUUAAGAUGGGGAAAGGAAUAGGCAAUCAGAGAGCACUUGGCUCUUGUGACCAAAAUUCUAUUAGUUUUAAGAGUGAUGGAAAGACAGGAGAGAUCCUUUACAGGCCAGUCAGCCUGACAUCUGUAUUGGGGAAGUUAUUGGAAAGGAUUCUAAGGGAUAGGUGACAGUCCUUACUAAAACUGUCAAAAACAUUAUGAUGCCCCUGAUGCCAACAGGGUCUCAGGUCUAAGUCUCCUGAAUCUAAGUACUACCUUCAGCACAAUUGACCACAACAUCCUCCUAGAUCACCUUGAGAACCAGGUAGGCCUCUUUGGUAAUGCCCUUAAUUGGUUUUACUCACAUAGCUCAGAGGGAAGUUUUGCUAAGAGAUAUGAUGUUCUUUUGGUGUUGUUCAGGGUAGCUGUCUUGGCCGCCUACUCUUCUCCUUAUACAUGUUCCCCAUUAGAAAACAUAAACCUGAUUCCCACAGUUACGCAGAUGACACACAGUUGUAUAUCCUGGUCAAGCCUGAUGAUGAUAACACCCUAUCUUCUCUGACUUCUCAUAUGGCUGCAAUAAACAAAUGGAUGAGCAAUCGUUACAAGUAUUAACCCUCAAUAAUAAUGAUCAGUAAGGCACAGGGAGAAUCUGUAUUUCCUGAUGUACCUUUGUUGUCUCAAUUAACAAACACAUGAAUUUACAAAACUAGAUACUUGUGUGCACAAUCACUAGGUUUCCUUGACCCUCUUGAACAGUCAAAGAAGAGAAAAGGUAAUACCCAGGAAAAGAAAUCUACACUGGCCAGGCAUUCUCCUUGAUCCGGACAUAAUCUCCAUAUUUCUGAUGUGGGCUAUCCACUUCAGCGAUGGUUGGUCCCCAAUAGAGUUGUUGUUGCCUGUUCUCCUGUAAUUCUCCAUUCUUAUUCUUUUCCUUAUUAGAUCAAUCUAUAAUAUAUCAAUUUGUUUGCUCAAGCUCAUUUGACAUGUGGCCCAGUGAUCCUCUGAUUGAAUGUGGCCCAAGGCUACAAGCAGUAUUGCUUUAUGGCUCCAGACAUUUGCCCUAGGUCCUGUCUUUGGUUCUUUCCAACACAGUCCAGUUCAACCACUCCAACCAGGUCAGCCAAGCAUUGAACGGAGAUGACCAGAUUAUAGGUUGUUCCUUGUACAAGCUUGUUAUGUACAUAAUAAAUAGCUUCUUAUCUGAAAAUGGUCUGAGAUUUAAUAGAUCAUUAGCAGAAACUCGUUGUGUCCCCAUUCAGUUGCUCCAAUUCAUCUGUCCCUGCCGAAGAACCAGUUCACCAGACAGUUCACAAAAUGGCAGCUGCAAGGACAGUCUCACAAAAUGGCUGCUUCCCUCACUGCAACCAUAUGGCAAGAACAAAGACUUAUGCGUUGUCUGUUUCCACUGGCCUUGCCUCAUUCCUAUUUGCUGAUUUGCAGAUUCUAGUUCUUUCUGGCCAACACAAUAACUUCCGAAAAUCAAAUGAAGUUAAAACUGAAAUACUUUAAAUUGGCCCUAAAGCCAAGAGGUAAUUUCUUGAUAAACUUGGGAACUUGGCUCCCCUUGUAAAAGCAGAAGUAAAGAAGCCUGGGUGUUAUCCUUGAAUCAAAUUUAAAUUUCAAUACCAGAUCAGCAUUUCUACACAAGAAGUAUUGCAAAGGUAUGUCUGUUUCUGUCAUGUAAUAACACUGAAAAAUUAAUUCAUGCCUUUGUAUCAAAUAGACUACGGUACUGUAGACUCUGGAAUGUUUUUAUUGGCCUUCCAAAGCAAUCUGUUAAUAAACCUCAACUCAUUCAGAAUACUGCUAAAGUCAGGAUAAAUUCUGUCCUAAGUACCCUACAUUGGCUUCCUGUAUCUCUUAGAAUUUAUUUUAAAGUUCUCUUAUUUGCAUUUAAAGCUAUCAAUGUUCUGGGACUAGAGUACAUCAUAAAAAAACUUUUGUUUUAUAAUCCUGCUCAAGAUCUUUGGUCUUCUACCGCUCAUCUCUUAAAUUUGAACAAUCUCCCUCAAAAGAAAAUUGGCAGGUUAUUUUGUUUUUUAACUAUGCUCCUAAACUGUAAAACUCAAUACCCAAAAUGAUCUGGAAGAGGCUUAACAAGACGCUGACUGGAUUUGAGGGCAUGUGCAAUAAAGAGAGGUUGAACAAUCAUGAAUUGUUUUCUCUGGAGUGAAAGAGGCAAAACAGACAGACAGACAGACUUUAUUGAUCCCGAGGGAAAUUGGGUUUCAUUACAGCCGCACCACCAAGAAUAGUGAAGAAAUAUAGCAAUAUAAAACCAUAAAUAAUUAAAUAAUAAAUAAUUAAUAAUACAAUACAAUUAAUAAUUAAUACUAGUUAUUACAAUUAUGAGAGUCUUAGGCUGAGUAGACAGCUGGUAUCUUUUACCCAGGGUUGAAAUGUCCAAUAACAGAGGGCAUGAAUUUAAGGUGAGAGGGGGUAUGUUCAAAGGAGAUGUAUGGGGCAGGAUUUCUUUAAACACAGGGAGUGAAGGGUGCCUGACAUGCAUGUCAGGGGUGUUGGUAGAAACAGAUAUGAUUCAAGAGCCUGUCAUUUAAGAGGGACUUGGAAAGACACUUGAAUGUGCAGAGAAUGGAGAUGUAUGGAUCAAGAUCAACCAGAAGGAAUUAGUUUAAUUAUUUGUCAUCAGCUUAAUUAGUUCAGCACAAACUCUGAGGGAUGCAUCUAUACCUUGUCACAUUUAGCUUUUCAACAAAUUACCAUCAGAAACAGAGCUUUUAUGUAGUUAAGCAAGAAUCGAAACAUAGACCUUUCAAAAGGGAGUUCCCCAUGAGCACUGCAUCCUACAAUAUCUUCUGUAAAUCUUAGAAGAAGAGAUUGUUAUCUUGAAAAGUCAUUCUUGUAUAUGCUUAGUUUUAGAUUAGUACAGACUAUUACAGUUGUGUAAUCUGGGAACUUGAUAUUGAUAAGCCUAACUACUGCAUGUGCUGCCUCAUCCAACAUUGAAGUAUCAUAGGAUCACAGAGCUGUACAGUGUAGAAAUAUGCCUUUGGGCCCAGCAUUCACGCCGACUGUGAUGACUAUCUAUGCAAAUCCCAUUUACAUGCUUUUGGCUUGUAUCCAACUCUCUUUCUGACUAAGUGCCAGUUCAAAUGCCUUGUAACACAUACAAAGUACUGGAGGAACUCAGUAGUUCAGGCAGCUAUGGAAAUGUAUGAACAGUCAAUGUUUUGGGUCGAGACCCUUCUUCAGUUCUGGGAGGGAAGGGAGAAGAUGCUGGAAUAAAAAGAGGGGAAGGAGGGCUAGCUAGAAUAUGAUAAUUGAAGCCAGGUGUAUGGGAAGGUAAAGGGUGGAGAAGAAGAAAUCUGUAAGAGAGGAGAGUGGACUAUAGGAGAAAGGGAAGAAGGAGGGGCACCAGGGGAGAUGAUAGACAGGUGAGAAGAGGUAAGGAGCCAGACUGAUGAAUAGAAAAAGAGGGAAGGGGAAGGGGAAGAAAUACUGGAAGGAGAAAUCAAUUUUCAUGCCAUCCAGUUGAGUAUACUGAGACAGCAAAUGAACUGUUGUUCCUCCACACUAGGAGUGACCUCAUUGUGGCAGAAGAAGAGGCUAUGGACUGACACGUCAAGACAGGAAUGGGAUAGGAAUUAAAAUGGUCGGUCACUGAGAAAUUCUACUUUUGGCAGAUGGAGAGCUUACAAUAAGUUGUAAUUGUUAUUGUCACUUCCACUGUCAGCUUAUUACAUAUGAAAUAUACAGUAUAUCAGUUAUUGUUUUCAUCUAUAGCUCUCACCAAUGUAGCCAAAUCUAUCAUUGACCACCCUUGCAAAUCUUAUUUGGUCUUAUGGGCCAAGCACGGGCAACUGGGACGAGCUUGGUUAGGCACCUUGGUCAGUAUAGAUAAGUUGGUCUGAAAGGCCUGUUCUGUGCUGUAGAGCCCAAAGGAAGCCUAGAAAACUUUGUGUGAGGCAUUACAUUACGAGGAAAAACCAGGGUAGGAUUUACAUAGUGAGCAGUAAGCUACUGAGGAGUGCAGUAGAACAGAGAGAUCUUGGAAUAUGGAUCCAUAAUUUCUUGAAAGUGGUGUCAAAGUAAAUAGUGUCAUAAAGAGAGUUCUUGGCACAUUGACCAUAAAUCCAAGUAUUAAGUACGGGAGUUAGGAUGCUAUGUUGACGAUGUAUAAGACAUUGUUGAGGCCUAAUCUGGAGUAUUGUGUGCAGUUCCAGUCACCUUCCUAUAAGAAAGGUAUAAAUAAGACUAAAAGCAUGCAGAGAAAACUUACAAGGAUAUUGCUAGGAGUUGAGGACCUGAGUUAUAGAGCUAAGGUGGAAGGUGAAAUCUUUAAGGGGAACAUGAGGGAGCCCUUCUUCACUCAGAGGGUGGUAAGAGUGUGGAAUGAGCUGCCAGUGGAAGUGAUAGAUUUAGGUUUGAUUUCGACAUUUAAGAAAAUUUGGAAAGUACAUGAAUGGGAGAAAUGUGGGGGAGGGGUGAACAGCUGUUGUCUGGGUGCAGGUUGGUGGGACUAGGCAGAUUAAUAGUUUGGCACAUACCAGACUGUCCGGAGAGCCAUUUCCUGUGAUGUAGUGUUCUAGCAUACUAAAUCCCCAAUUUCCUUAAAACCUUACUGUCAUUCUGGAUAUUUGUGGUGAUUAGCAAAUGACCUUAAUGAGAUGAACAAUGAAUAGAGAAGCUUUCAGAUGGUAUGGAUUGAUUCUGUUCCCUGAGGAAGCCUCGUCUGUGACCUGCUGUUUCUCUGAGUGCUUUAACAGUCUUGCUAUUAAACCAAGAAACAAAAAUUUCAUUCAACUAUUCGUCUUACUUAUCUGCCAUAUAACAUAGGAGUUCAGCAGCAUCACAUUCCCAAUAAAUAAACUGAAGAAAGGUUAAAGUGGCAAGUUCACAUUAAUCAGAUAAUGGCAGCAGUUUUAGAAAGUUGAUGAUAUUCACUUUGAAAUAUUGUUUUCAGCAUUAGGAUGUAGUAUGCUGGAUAGAGUUAGCUUUGCAAGAGGCAAAGUAGAGAUUUAUUAAUCUUUCACUUUGUGCUUAAAAUAGGGUUAAUUGUUCAACUAGUAAAUAAAAGUACAAUCAUAGAAACAGGAGCAAGAGUAGGCCACAUAGCCCUUUAGAUCUGCUGCACAAUUCAACACUAUUAUGACUGAUCACCCCAUUCAGCCAUCUGCUUCUGCUUUUAAGGGGUCACUUAAAGAGUUCCGUCCAAGCAUUGUAACUCCUGUGAUUCAGGUCAUUGCGCAGGGUGAUGUCAUUGGGAGAAAUGUACAUAAUUCACAACCACUGACACUGAGCUGGGGCUUCAGUGGCUGGUCUGAUGUGAUGACGUUUUUACAUAAAGAGUUUCGGCACACUUUUGUUGUGUGGGUUUUGGAGUUCAAUAAAAUGUGUUACAUGUUU